AGUUAUUUGCAAAAAAUUGAGUUUCCUGGGUUUGACUUGCCAGGAAAUAAUAUGGGUCCUAUGAGUUUUACCUCAAUUUUGGGUGGGACUAACCAGCAGAUACCUGGGUUGGAGCUUGGUUUGUCACAGGAUGGCCAUAUUGGGGUUUUGAAUCCACAUACUUUGAGUCAGAUUUAUCAGCAGAUGGGGCAGCCUAGAGUGCAACAGCAACAGCAGCACCAGCAUCAACAGCAGAAUCCUGCCAAGGAUGAUUCUCAAGGGUCAGGGCAGUAAUAGCAGUUCAGAGUAGUCAUUCUUGAUGUUGAGAGACGCCGAGUGAUUUUUGUAAUGGUUUUUGUGUUGUAUAAUUGAUGAAAAAAAAUGUGAGAGAGAGACCCAAAAAAAAAAAAAAAAAGAGAUACUUAAGAAAAUUCAAUAGGGACUGGAUUUGGUUUGCCUCUUACUCUCUCCUUCAUCACUCUCCAUAUACAGGUGGAAUUGUGCACAGCCAAAUAGUUUGGGUUUGGGCUUAACUUCUUAUCUAAUUCAGAGAGGUGUGUUGGUUAUAGUGUAAGGCAUCUUUAAUUAUUUUGUUCUUAUCUUUGUCUGGAUGAAGCGGUGAUCAGUUUGUUUGUGAGAUUAAAUAGUGAUAUAGUUGUCCAAUUUUCAUU
Molecule: unclassified non-coding RNA, 650 nt
Filed under: Hevea brasiliensis (rubber tree)
Lineage: Eukaryota; Viridiplantae; Streptophyta; Magnoliopsida; Malpighiales; Euphorbiaceae
Source: RNAcentral